GGAUUGUGGCUCGGCGGUAGAAUUCUCGCCUAGUAGGGGGGAGGCCCUGGGUUCGAUCCUCAGCACCA
RNAcentral lists this transfer RNA (68 nucleotides) under Marmota monax (woodchuck). RNAcentral's name for it is "tRNA.Thr". The record is from RNAcentral. Lineage: Eukaryota; Metazoa; Chordata; Mammalia; Rodentia; Sciuridae.